AUGAUCGAAGUGGGUGACUUUGGACAAAUUCUUUUAGAUGAUACAGUGCAAGCUUUGCAACUCUUGGACCCGCCUGACGCCCAUGAGCCGGAAUGUUGUGCAAUAUCACAACAUGCAGUUUCUGGAGAGGAAGCGUCCUCCACCAUUCGCAUGCGCGCACAAGUUGGAGACCAAUACAUGCUGUUGUUAGUGGAUUCGGGCAGCUCACACAGUUUCAUCAGUGACUCCUUUGUGCAUCGCGUGUCAGCCCACACCGAGGCAUUACCACCGGUAUCAGUCCGGGUGGCUAACGGGCAGCGUUUGCAUUGCAACAAGAUUGUACGGCAAUUGGGAUGGCAAGUACCUGGACACACUUUUCAUACAGACUUCAGAGUACUGCCACUGGGAGCAUAUGAUGGAGUCCUAGGCAUGGAUUGGUUAGCCUCACAUAGUCCCAUGAACUGUCAUUGGAAACUGAAGACGAUUGAAUUCGAAACCGAAGGGAAAGCAGUGCAUCUCCAGGACGUCAGAACCUCAGACCUUCCACCAAUUACAGAAUUAGAUGUGUAUGAACUCCAUCGCAUGGAAGUGGCUAACGAUAUUUGGACUGCAGCUCUAGUUACAGUUGAGCGGUCAGACAAAGGGAUCCCAAAACCGGUUCCACCAAACAUUCAGAAAGUGCUGUCAGAAUAUCAGGACGUGUUCGCUGAACCAACAACGUUACCACCUCAUCAAUAGUAUGAUCAUGGUAUCCACCUCGAGUCAGGCACUGUCCCAAUCAACACCAAGCCAUAUCAAUACUCACCUGCUCAGAAGGACGAAAUCAAGAAGUAG
This 813-nucleotide ribosomal RNA is filed under the name Triticum aestivum (bread wheat). RNAcentral's name for it is "partial small subunit ribosomal RNA". The record is from RNAcentral. Lineage: Eukaryota; Viridiplantae; Streptophyta; Magnoliopsida; Poales; Poaceae.